GACGAACGCUGGCGGCGUGCUUAACACAUGCAAGUCGAACGGAAAGGCCCUGCUUUUGUGGGGUGCUCGAGUGGCGAACGGGUGAGUAACACGUGAGUAACCUGCCCUUGACUUUGGGAUAACUUCAGGAAACUGGGGCUAAUACCGGAUAGGAGCUCCUGCUGCAUGGUGGGGGUUGGAAAGUUUCGGCGGUUGGGGAUGGACUCGCGGCUUAUCAGCUUGUUGGUGGGGUAGUGGCUUACCAAGGCUUUGACGGGUAGCCGGCCUGAGAGGGUGACCGGCGACAUUGGGACUGAGAUACGGCCCAGACGCCAACGGGAGGCAGCAGUGGGGAAUAUUGCACAAUGGGAGGAAGCCUGAUGCAGCAACGCCGCGUGCGGGAUGACGGCCUUCGGGUUGUAAACCGCUUUCGCAUGUGACGAAGCGUGAGUGACGGUAAUGGGUAAAGAAGCACCGGCUAACUACGUG
Molecule: ribosomal RNA, 468 nt
Filed under: uncultured bacterium
Lineage: Bacteria
Description: partial 16S ribosomal RNA
Rfam family: Bacterial small subunit ribosomal RNA
Source: RNAcentral